Long non-coding RNA from Canis lupus familiaris (dog), 285 nucleotides. RefSeq lists it as uncharacterized. The transcript is spliced from 2 exons. The record is from RefSeq and is a predicted model, not a curated record. NCBI's taxonomy places the organism in Eukaryota, Metazoa, Chordata, Mammalia, Carnivora, Canidae.
CCAAACUAGGAGAAAGAUGUGAAGGAACAUGCUUGGGAUGGCAUAACUAAACAGGUGUGAUAAGCCUACAGAGCACAAGAAGACUAAUGAACAUUUCAGUAAUUACAGAAAUUUGAUAUUCAGAGUUUUGUAAGAGCACAUCAUUGCUUUCUGGAACUACGAGAUGAAUUCUCCAGCUUCCUUCAGUAUCUUCUUUGCUCCAGCCCCAGAUUUGUCCAAGAAGACUUGGUUCUUUUUUUGAAGCAAGGCAUUAAAAGGCAAAAACUGGGCCUUGAUAAGUGAAAA